Bemisia tabaci is the source of this 316-nucleotide non-coding RNA. Lineage: Eukaryota; Metazoa; Arthropoda; Insecta; Hemiptera; Aleyrodidae. The record is from RefSeq and is a predicted model, not a curated record.
GAAGUGGUCUCAUCAAACCUAAUUGGCAUGAAAUUAAACUUGUCCCUUUCACCAAAAACUUUUUUCAACCAUUAGAAAGUUAUUUAGAACGGUCUCAUGACGAAAUUAAAUUGUACAGAAGAACUAAUGAAAUCACCGUUAGCCACGAAGACGCCCCUGGUCCUCUAAUCAGCUUCACUGAAGCAAAAUUCCCCAAACAUGUCUUAAGACAACUUGAGCAAAAUGACAUUGUGUCACCAACGCCAAUUCAAGCUCAAGGCUGGCCAAUAGCAUUAAGAGGAGAUAAUUUAGUCGGCAUCGCACAGACUGGAUCAGG